Molecule: RNA transcript, 2695 nt
Organism: Cuculus canorus (common cuckoo)
Lineage: Eukaryota; Metazoa; Chordata; Aves; Cuculiformes; Cuculidae
Gene: MAPT
Gene name: microtubule associated protein tau
Exons: 14
Source: RefSeq, a predicted model, not a curated record
UCCGCUGGUUCGAGAAUGCUGCACCCAAGCUGUGGUAACAUUGCUGAGACAGCGGAACAGUGUCAGAACGUUACCAUAAUGGAGGAUCAUGCAGCUGGCCAGGAGAAGCACGUCCCAUCAGGCUAUCCCCUCCAGAUACCAGUCGAUGAUGGAUCAGAUGAGCCUUUUUCUGAAACAUCUGACGCUAAGAGCACCCCAACUACGGAAGAUGCCACAGCACCUUUAGUGGAGGAAGGAGACCACGAGGAUCAGGGUGGUGUCGAACAACACGGGGAGAUUCCAGAAGGAACCACAGCUGAAGAGGCGGGCAUAGGAGCCACCCCCAACCUGGAGGACCAUGCUGCAGGAGAUGCCGUGCAAGAGGAGCCAAGGCCUUCCAAGUUACAGCCUUACCCUCAGGAUUGUGUGGGAGAUGCAAUAAGAAGAGAAACCCAAUCCACAAAGCAGGCAGCCGGGGUUCCUCAGCAGCCUCUUCUAUCUCAUGAAAUGAAGGCUACAACAGCAGCUCCCACCAGGAUCGAGGUCACCAUCCCAAUACCUCUGGAUAUGUACCAAGACUCCAGAACAUGUGAAGACAGCAAUGAGUUGUGGGAUCACCGAGGCAGGGAAGGCAGUGGUGUGGAUGCCGCACUGGGAACAGAGCGAAGUCAUGAUGUGUGCACUGAGGGGUUGGCAGGAGCAGGCAGCACAGGCAACUCCCAUAUUAAAGAUGGGCUGUCUCCUUUGUAUACCAGAGCCCCAUUAAAAGAAGAUGCCAGUGGACUGGAAAGAGACAAGGACCGUGAUAUUGAUGAAACUCCUGAACAGGAUUUGAUUUCCCUGGUGGGACAGCAUAUUUUACCAAGACCUGAAGUGGGCUUGUGUCCAGCAGCAGCCAAGGAAGCUCUUGAAGAAUGUGCCUUUGGCAAAAAUAAGUCUCAAGAUGUGCUCAGAGACACAUCAAGAGAGGUACCUCUUGUUGAAACUGAAUCACAUGAAGCAGGAGAGGACCAAGAGAGGAAGAGGUGGCCACUGGGCGGGGAGGAAGACACAGAUAUCAUCCCAUCUAAGCCUUCUGAAGUCAUCUCCCAAAAAGCUAAGCCUGGGGAGGAAGGAGAUUCUGGACCCUUGCUAGAAUCAGCCAAACUCCCCGUGGAGUUAAAAGAUGAUGUGGAAGACAAAGAUGCUCCUUCUGAACAGGCAGUGCCAGAUACAGGAGAAUGCGGGACACCCAAGAAGAGAACUUGUGCUCGUGUUACAGAUAAAGCCAUCAGUCGUGUCCCUCUCCUAAAAGGUCGCAUCGACAGCAAAGACCAGGAUGGGGCUGAGGCUGAGGAAAAGAAACUGAAGAAAUCCUCACCUUCCACUGCCAAACCCCCAGGUGGUAGACCCUCCAUCCCUCCCCACCGACACACCUCCUCUAGCACAACCCCUUCGAAAACACCCUCCAGCCCUGCUUCCACCUCUAAACGAGCCUCUUCUGUCACAUCCCGACCUGCCAGUAAAGGAACGCAGGAAACGAGAGCCAAGGGCCCAGAGAUGAGAGGUGGCGUGAAGACGGCUACACAGCGGUCUGCAGCAGGGCAGGGCCAGAGGAACUCGACUAAUGCCACGCGCAUCCCAGCAAAGACUCCCACGGCCCCCAAGACACCUCCCAGCUCCGGCAGAAAGGAGCAGAAGAAACCACCUCCUGCAGCAGCAAAGUCUGAGAAAGGUGAGCAGCCAAAGUCUGGAGACAGAAGCGGUUACAGCAGUCCGGGCUCUCCUGGGACUCCGGGCAGCCGUUCCCGCACUCCCUCUCUGCCCACCCCACCAGCCAGGGAGCCCAAGAAGGUGGCAGUGGUUCGCACACCACCAAAAUCUCCUGCAUCUGCCAAGACCCGCGUCCAGCCAUCAGCCGCACCCAUGCCUGAUCUGAAAAAUGUGAAGUCCAAAAUUGGCUCAACUGAAAACCUGAAGCACCAGCCCGGAGGUGGCAAGUUUUUGUGGACAUAAACUUUAUGUUUUGCACCAGAAAAGGUAUUUAUUUUUUACAUUUUCUCUCUGGUAUAUCUCCUCCUUUUGGAUGAUGUGUAUGCAAAUCUUAAUUAAUUACCACUCUACUUUCUCUUUCUCUCUCUCUUACGCACUUUAAAAUUGCCUCUACUUUCCUCCUUUGUGGAGAGGUGAUGUUGUGCAUGCUGACAUGUUAAGAGGCUACUGCACAUGGGCAUUAAUCAUCUCCCAUUUCUGACAACAGUUUCUUUUGUGUUAUUAAUCUUACUGGGGUUUAAACUGUCCUUUCCCUUGAAUCCAGAUCAGGUGCCGGUGUGUGUUGUGCCUCCCCCCUCCAGGCUGCCUGUGGUAGCAGUAAGCUCAUUGACUUCUCCUUUCUCAUAUGGACAGGUUCAAAUUGUUUACAAGCCAGUUGACCUGAGCCACGUGACAUCCAAAUGCGGUUCCCUGGGCAACAUCCAUCACAAACCAGGCGGUGGCCAGGUGGAGGUGAAAUCUGAGAAACUGGACUUCAAAGAUAAGGUGCAAUCGAAAAUUGGGUCCUUAGAUAACAUCAGCCACGUCCCUGGAGGUGGAAAUAAAAAGAUUGAGACUCAUAAGCUGGACUUUCCGUGAGAAUGCCAAAGCCCAAGACCGACCACGGCGCCGAAAUCGUUUAUAAGUCCCCCACCAUCUCUGGAGAUGCCUCCCGCGCCGCCUUAGCAAUGUCUCCUCCACGGCA